GUGGGGAAUAUUGGGCAAUGGGCGAAAGCCUGACCCAGCAACGCCGCGUGAAGGAAGUAGGUUUUCGGAUCGUAAACUUCUAUCCUUGGUGAAGAUAAUGACGGUAGCCAAGAAGGAAGCCCCGGCUAACUACGUGCCAGCAGCCGCGGUAAUACGUAGGGGGCAAGCGUUGUCCGGAAUGAUUGGGCGUAAAGGGCGCGUAGGCGGCCCGGUAAGUCUGAAGUGAAAGUCCUGCUUUUAAGGUGGGAAUUGCUUUGGAUACUGUCGGGCUUGAGUGCAGGAGAGGUAAGCGGAAUUCCCGGUGUAGCGGUGAAAUGCGUAGAGAUCGGGAGGAACACCAGUGGCGAAGGCGGCUUACUGGACUGUAACUGACGCUGAGGCGCGAAAGUGUGGGGAGCAAACAGGAUUAGAUACCCUUGUAGUCC
This 425-nucleotide ribosomal RNA is filed under the name uncultured bacterium. RNAcentral's name for it is "partial 16S ribosomal RNA". It matches the Rfam family "Bacterial small subunit ribosomal RNA", at positions 354 to 796 of the family's 1533-position model. The record is from RNAcentral.